UUUCUUCUCUCCAUUGAAGGACACAACCUGAUUACACGAGGGUUGCUAAAUUAAUGUUUGCUAUUUAUUUGUAUUAGUUGAGAUAAUUGAUAUAAUUUCGAAUGACUAAUAUACUUUGAACUCACUGUUCGUAUAGAUCCAAUUGUCUGUUCAACUGUGUCUGCAGCAUCACUAUACGAUGUUAGUCGCUUGCUAGAAACCCGGGUUAGCAGCUGUGCAGACACUGCACCAGCGAUAGCAACUAAUGGUAGUGACGUUAGCAUGACAAGAGUCAGGAGCCAGCCUUUUGUGAAUGCUAUGAUAAGACCCCCAAAGAAGGCAGAUAUGGCUUGUACAAGCUUCCCUCCCUGUAAAUCAGAAUGCAGGAAUGUCAGCACUUGUAGCACUGGAUAGGCUGCAUAGAAUGUAUGAAAUAUGAAAUACACUUAGGUGAGUAACACAAAAGUUUAUGUAGUAGCAAGAAAUAUUGAUGCUUGUCAUUGACUUGCACCUGCAGAUCUGCGCACACUUGCAGUGUGAUGAAAAAUAUUAUGUUUCCUUAUUUCGUAGUACUACAGAGGAAGUAUUACCUUCUCACCAAGAGCAUCUUGAAUUAUGACCGUAUCGCUAGACAUUCUAGAAACUGCUUCACCAGUUGUCAUUUCUGUGUCGAAGAAUGCAAUAUCUUGCCUCAGAACUGAUUUCAGGUACAAAGAACGGAUGCGGGCUGACUGCCUUUCUCCUGACAUUGUCCAGCAUGACAUCUCUGGAAGAUAAUGAAGGGAAACAUGUAUUGCAAGAAUAGAAUGGGAACCGCACUUACGAAGAAAGGAAGCAACUGCUAUCCCAAUGCCCAAAUAUACGAAGUUGAGAACAACCUGGAGAUCAAAAGAACAUUCUCUGUUAACUCGUCUAGCCAAUCUUCAGGCUAAGUGAUCUGAUCACCGUAAGCUGGGGCGCACCUUGGUGACAGCGGGGAGGACGGUGCUGGUGGUGCUCUCGCCGAAGGAGUUGAUGGCGUCUCCAAAGACGACCAACAUGAGGGACCCCGCCACGCCGUUGCCCACCGCCCCCAGCGAGCCAACCACCAUGAGCAGCACGUCGAGGCUGUCGGCGUACCUGAACAUGCCGAGCAACGACACCUUCUUCUCCGGCUGUUCACCUUUUUCUUGCUCGCCGCCGUGGCGUGCUCCUUCUCCGCUGCGAGCUUCUGCUGUCGCGUCCAUUUCCUGGCAGCUACAGCUUGCGUUGCUGGUGUGCUCGACGAGCCCAGGCCUGCACCGUGCCGUGUGUAGUUCCUGUCCCCGGGGGUGGAGGAGGCACUGUGUAUAAGCAUUUCGCCGGCCGCCCAGAGCCCAAGACAGAGUGCUUUGACUGUUCUUGGGCUGGUUGGGUGCUCCGAAGCAGAGGAAGGGCCCGGGAAAGUUUGCGAUGGAAAAGUACUUUUGUGCGCACGGAUUUAUGGAUUUUUGUAUGUGGGUUUGCACGGAUUUAUCGUUGGCAUGUGGUGAUUUGCUGCGACAAUUCAAGAUUCACAGCCUACUUUUGUGCGCAGCGUCAGCGUAGUCACUAGUUGGUCAAAUGGAUUGACCAGUAUU
This is a long non-coding RNA of Triticum aestivum (bread wheat), 1577 nucleotides long. RefSeq lists it as uncharacterized. NCBI's taxonomy places the organism in Eukaryota, Viridiplantae, Streptophyta, Magnoliopsida, Poales, Poaceae. The transcript is spliced from 2 exons. The record is from RefSeq and is a predicted model, not a curated record.